ACAAAGUUCACUGACAGUGAACAUUUGUGUUGUAUCAGAGACUCUAGAACUGGGGACUCUGACAGAGAGACUCAUUGUGAUUUAUGAUAAAUUUCUGGAUGGCGGCAUUUUUAGACAGUCGUACAAAGGCUGAGAAGAACAUCAAUGCGUUAUAGUCGGAAAGCUGGAAAUGCCUAUAUAAUAAAUGUUCAUCAAACAGAUGAUCUUUAGAGAUCCCUUCCAAGCAAAACCACUCUAUUAUUCUAUGCUACAAUCAACAGAUCUGUAAUCAUUUUAAAAGAAUCUUCCACACUUCUUGAAGGCUCCUGUUUGGUGUACUUUGAAGAUUUUGUGUAGAAAGCUUCCACUUUCUGCUGAAGAAACCCCAAGAAACGUCUGUGAAGUCAAGUCAAUGCUUAAAGCUUCGGCUUCUGUAUUUAAUGGAACCAUUUUGGGUUCCAGUUGCAUCUGUGGAAUAACUUACAGCAAGAGCUAUAACACAAUCCUGCCUACUCCCAUUGUGGUCAUGGUUAAUGAUUGCAGUGCUCUGUGGAAAAGCUUUCAAGGCAGGAGUGUUUGAAGCUUUCACAAAAACCUGCCCCAGUGAUGUGGGAUCCUAACAUUCAGCAUGGAAAUGUUGUACGUAUAGUCAUAUCUGCUGACACUCCUGAGUGUGUGAAGUCACUACGGAAAUCUGAAAAUUUCUGUCAUUUCAUGAAAUAUAUGCUGUGUUACUGAAGCGCAUUGAAAUAAAAGUUCCCCGAGGUAAAGAUGAAUCUAAAAA
Molecule: long non-coding RNA, 763 nt
Organism: Gallus gallus (chicken)
Lineage: Eukaryota; Metazoa; Chordata; Aves; Galliformes; Phasianidae
Exons: 4
Source: RefSeq, a predicted model, not a curated record